Felis catus (domestic cat) is the source of this 85-nucleotide non-coding RNA. Lineage: Eukaryota; Metazoa; Chordata; Mammalia; Carnivora; Felidae. The record is from Rfam.
GCCUGGGUGGCUCAGUUGGUUGAGCGGCUGACUUCAGCUCAGGUCAUGAUCUCGUGGUCCGUGAGUUCGAGCCCCGCGUUGGGCU